AGCUCCAAUAGCGUAUAUUAAAGUUGUUGCGGUUAAAAAGCUCGUAGUUGGAUCUCGGCGAACAGGGGGCGGUUCGUUAUUUGACGGUACUGCCCCAUUUGUUCGUAUUUUUGCAAGAGGAUUGGGGGUCCCCUUUGUUGGGUGUCUCCGGUCGCUUGCAGGUUUACUUUGAAAAAAUUAGAGUGCUCAAAGCAGGCUUACACGCUUGAAUAUUCGUGCAUGGAAUAAUAGAAUAGGAAGUCGUUUCUAUUUUGUUGGUUUUCGGAAAAUGACUUAAUGAUUAAUAGGGACAAUCGGGGGCAUUAGUAUUCAAACGACAGAGGUGAAAUUCUUGGACCGUUUGAAGACUAACUACUGCGAAAGCAUUUGCCAAGAGUGUUUUCA
RNAcentral lists this ribosomal RNA (384 nucleotides) under marine copepod environmental sample. RNAcentral describes it as "SSU rRNA". It matches the Rfam family "Eukaryotic small subunit ribosomal RNA", at positions 587 to 972 of the family's 1831-position model. Lineage: Eukaryota; Metazoa; Arthropoda; Copepoda. The record is from RNAcentral.